Long non-coding RNA from Vulpes vulpes (red fox), 1740 nucleotides. Lineage: Eukaryota; Metazoa; Chordata; Mammalia; Carnivora; Canidae. The record is from Ensembl.
GACUGGGGACUCCCCAGAGCUCUAGCCUCCGACUCAUGUGAGGGCGUCGUGAGGCCCUGAGGCCCCGGGAGGUUCAGCUCCCAGAUGCCUGUGAGCUCCACCUGCCCCGACCGCACCAGCACACACCCUCGAUGGGCCGUGCUGUGCGGGAGCUGAGACCGCGUGGGCCCGCCAGGUCGGGGUGCUCGGGCGGCCUCACCCCUGCCGAGGACUGCAGCCCCUACAGGUCUGAUUUACUGACCAGGCUUUUCCAGCACGUUCUGAGGUGCCUGAAGAUACUGUUUCAGGUGGGGGUUUACCUGGCAGCCUGGGGAAGACCCCCCACCUUUGUUGGGACCCUUGGCUACCACAGAGCCAUUUGCCCCAUUUCCCUGCCAGUUCCGAAUCUCGAGGGACCAGGCUUCUCUCGGGCAUCACAACGCGCAACGCAGGACCUGGCACAGAGCGGACCCUGGCUGCCCUGGCCCCUGACACGCACGGAGCAUGCUCCCUGCCUGUGCGCACAGAGUGACAGAGGGCCCUGCCUGGGUGCCCGGGGGGUGAGCCUGGGUCGACCAUGGACCGCAGGUCUCAUGGGCCCGCCUCUCAGAACACGGAAGAAACGCCAGUGGCAGGAGCGCGUGGGGAAGUGGAGCCUUGGAUCCUGCCCUAGCCCUGACCAGGCUCUUGCGCAGAUGGUGGCUGGGCUUUCACCUUCUCCGAGACUUGUCAAGAUGAAGAGCCUGGGACUUGGUGGCUGACCCGGGGGGCGGGCGCCUCCUCCUGGCUCUGCCUGGAUGACUGGCCCCUCCCCGUGGAGCACAGACUCAGCCCGGAGUCUCAGGUCACGGGAGGACGAGCCCAGGGAAGUCCUGGCUCCACCAGCCGCCGGCUCUGCUUGUUUGCUGUGCUAGCACUUUGUAUCUGAAGGACUUGUCACACUCAACAACAAAGUUUCCACUCCGCCGUGUUUCCAGUUGGUGCAUACAUUGUAUCCGGGAACACUAGGAGGCCGGGCCGAGGCUGCCUUACGCACCUUGAAAAAUCCGCUUCCUGCUGUUAGAAAAGGGAACUUAUUCUGGCAUCAAAAUCACAAGACUCUGGCUGCUUCUCUUGUGCUUUAAUGGUCGGCACUCAAACGAAAGCGUGUAACGGCCCCGGCCUGCGCCUCCCUCCACACACUCAUUUGGUCUGUUCGCAAGUUCCCGGGUGAUACAAAAAUAGCCCGUACAAACUCUGUUUCCCGCAUAUAAAAACCGAGCGGAAAGGGUCUCAGUAGUCACUAACACAAAGCAUCUCAGGAAAAAUACAACACAGGUUUAACUUCUGCAGUAUUUUUUUCAUAUAAAACACUAGUAAAAUAGGCUUCUUAAAAAUUAAAUAGUGAAAUACCACCAAAUUAUAUACAUCGUUACAGUACAAGUGAAUGAGGCAAAGUAUCCAGUUCUCGGUUUCUCGGCGCAGGCGCUGUGCGGGGGGAAGCCUGUCUCCCUCUCCCGAGGUGGCAGCCGCUUUAGGAAGAGUGGCUGGCCGACGGACAGACGGACAGAGCCGGGUCGCCCAGCAAGACCAAGGUUCCUCCAGGACGCAGCAGGCAGGGCCGCCACUCCGGGGGUCCUGCCCGGGCCUGGGCUCUGCUCCCGGGAGCCCACACGGCGGGAGCUCACCGCGGCACUGGGGAGGGGCCGGGGCCUCCGCGCCCGAGCCGGCCCCACUCUCUCGGGCCCACCGGAGCCCCAGGUGGUCGCAGGGGGCCCUGUG